UGGGGAAUAUUGCACAAUGGGCGCAAGCCUGAUGCAGCCAUGCCGCGUGUGUGAAGAAGGCCUUCGGGUUGUAAAGCACUUUCAGCGGGGAGGAAGGCGAUAAGGUUAAUAACCUUGUCGAUUGACGUUACCCGCAGAAGAAGCACCGGCUAACUCCGUGCCAGCAGCCGCGGUAAUACGGAGGGUGCAAGCGUUAAUCGGAAUUACUGGGCGUAAAGCGCACGCAGGCGGUCUGUCAAGUCGGAUGUGAAAUCCCCGGGCUUAACCUGGGAACUGCAUUCGAAACUGGCAGGCUAGAGUCUUGUAGAGGGGGGUAGAAUUCCAGGUGUAGCGGUGAAAUGCGUAGAGAUCUGGAGGAAUACCGGUGGCGAAGGCGGCCCCCUGGUCAAAGACUGACGCUCAGGUGCGAAAGCGUGGGGAGCAAACAGG
Molecule: ribosomal RNA, 429 nt
Filed under: Chloroflexota bacterium
Lineage: Bacteria; Bacillati; Chloroflexota
Description: Chloroflexi bacterium partial 16S ribosomal RNA
Rfam family: Bacterial small subunit ribosomal RNA
Source: RNAcentral